RNAcentral lists this non-coding RNA (24 nucleotides) under Cricetulus griseus (Chinese hamster). The record is from RNAcentral. Lineage: Eukaryota; Metazoa; Chordata; Mammalia; Rodentia; Cricetidae.
UUGAGAUGGAGAAGCAACAGCAGG